Molecule: ribosomal RNA, 498 nt
Filed under: uncultured bacterium
Lineage: Bacteria
Description: partial 16S ribosomal RNA
Rfam family: Bacterial small subunit ribosomal RNA
Source: RNAcentral
AUUGAACGCUGGCGGCAUGCCUUACACAUGCAAGUCGAACGGUAACAGGUCUUCGGAUGCUGACGAGUGGCGAACGGGUGAGUAAUACAUCGGAACGUGCCUAGUAGUGGGGGAUAACUACUCGAAAGAGUGGCUAAUACCGCAUGAGAUCUACGGAUGAAAGCAGGGGAUCGCAAGACCUUGUGCUACUAGAGCGGCCGAUGGCAGAUUAGGUAGUUGGUGGGAUAAAAGCUUACCAAGCCGACGAUCUGUAGCUGGUCUGAGAGGACGAUCGGGCACACAGGGACGGGGACACGGCCCAGACUCCUACGGGAGGCAGCGGUGGGGAAUUUUGGAAAAUGGGCGAAAGCCUGAUCCAGCAAUGCCGCGUGCAGGAUGAAGGCCCUCGGGUUGUAAACUGCUUAUGUACGGAACGAAAAGCCCCGGGUUAAUACCCUGGGGUCAUGACGGUACCGUAAGAAUAAGCACCGGCUAACUACGUGCCAGCCGCCGCCGUAA